GGGAUAGCAUUAGGACAAAUACUUCAUGCAAGCAGGGCUUAAACCCUAGAUGAUGGGUGGACAGGUGCAGAAAACCACCAUGGCACAUGUAUACCUAUGUAACAGACCUGCACAUGUAUCCAAGAACUUAAAAAUUUAAAAAUAAAAAAUAGGGAGUAGAGUUUGGUAAGACAAUGUGAUAAUUUUACAAACACAAAACAUGUCAUACCCACUUCCCCACCUCCCUCAAGUGCUUUCAACAGCAUCCUAUUGCUGUUAUUAAGAGAAUAAAGCAUCUACCAUCAUCUCCCAGCCCCUGCCUGCCUUCCUUCAUUCUUGUCUUGUGCCACUUUCUCCCGUGUUUACUUCCUUGAACGUGCCUGUUUCCUGCUGCAAGAGGCAUUCUGCACGCACCCCCAUCUCUGUUUAGACCGUGCUGUCCCUACACUUCACCCCCCUCAACAAUCAACCUCUACUUCUCUCCAGACUGCAAGGGGAUCAUACCUUCCAGAAUGCAUCGGUUUUCUACCUCUCAUCCCAAGAUACGCCAGAUUCGUUUACAGCAUAAAUUUAGAGAAUCCCGCUUCCCUUUCUUUGGUGUGCUUCUCUCAAUUCUUCAUCAGAAACCCAUUAGAGUGAUUGUCACAUUAGUGCCCAUUCUCCCCAUCAGGCCGCAGGUUCGUGAGAGCAGGGGCCACGGUCAUGUUGGUGAACCACAGUAUUCUCAGUGACUAUCCAUGUGCUUAGAAAGUAUUUGCUGAAUGAGUAAAUGGGUCUGCAGUUCCAACCAAAGCUAGAAGCUUGACUUUGGAAGAAUGAAAGUAGAUAACAUCUCCAAAGCAGACCCCAUAGCAUGAGAAAAGAAGGGAAGAAGGGAAGAAUGGAGGCAGAGCUGAAGGAUGAAUAUCGGCACAGGAGUAGGGACAGAGGUGGUGCAUUGGACACACUACUAACCAGCAUACUCUCUCGGACUUGCAAGAAAAUGUAGAGAAAACAAUGUAGAAAUGAUAUCUCAGAAGAAAAAAAUAUCAAAAAUAUGAGAAUAAAUGUGGGAAAACAAAAUCAAUGUUGAAAGACAACUUCUCAACAUAUUUAGGUAUCUCUGGGACCUAAAAUGUCAUCAGGACUCCCCACACUUCUUUUUUUUUACAUUGCUCUGCGUGUGUGUGUGUGUGUGUGUGUGUGUGUGUGUGUAUUCAACAGAAAUCUACAAAAAAAAAAAAAGAAUGCUAUUGCUAGAAUAAUGCUACUACAGGGGAGAAAAAUGUAAUCUUUUCUUCCACCCAUCUUAGCUUCAUUGGCUGGGGUUCCUAUAACAAAAGACAGAUGAACCCCCAAAAAAGCAAACGGAGGCUUAUUAGCAUGUGUAUUUCAUAUAUACAUGGGAGAUACACAGGGAAUGAGGGAAUCUCAAAGAGACAGCUCAGACCUUUCUUUUAUAUAACAUCUUCAACAAGGAUAAUAAUGUUUAUAGAAGUGCCAAGACAAAGUAAAAGGACUUUGGGUCAUUGGGGGCAACAAAUUGUGGGAAGGCCAAUAAAUGAUAGAUUUUUGUGUAAA
Non-coding RNA from Macaca mulatta (Rhesus monkey), 1539 nucleotides. NCBI's taxonomy places the organism in Eukaryota, Metazoa, Chordata, Mammalia, Primates, Cercopithecidae. The record is from RefSeq and is a predicted model, not a curated record.